RNAcentral lists this ribosomal RNA (423 nucleotides) under uncultured bacterium. RNAcentral's name for it is "partial 16S ribosomal RNA". It matches the Rfam family "Bacterial small subunit ribosomal RNA", at positions 359 to 774 of the family's 1533-position model. The record is from RNAcentral.
GAAUCUUCCACAAUGGACGAAAGACUGAUGGAGCAAUGCCGCGUGAGUGAAGACGGUUUUCGGUUCGUAAAACUCUGCUGUGAGGGAAGAACAAGUAUGAGAGUAACUGCUCUUACCUUGACGGUACCUCAUUAGAAAGCCACGGCUACCUACGUGCCAGCAGCCGCGGUAAUCCGUAGGUGGCAAGCGUUGUCCGGAAUUAUUGGGCGUAAAGCGCGCGCAGGCGGUCCUUUAAGUCUGGUGUGAAAUCCCACGGCUCAACCGUGGAAGGUCAUUGGAAACUGGGGGACUUGAGUACAGAAGAGGAAAGCGGAAUUCCAAGUGUAGCGGUGAAAUGCGUAGAGAUUUGGAGGAACACCAGUGGCGAAGGCGGCUUUCUGGUCUGUAACUGACGCUGAGGCGCGAAAGCGUGGGGAGCAAACA